AGAUUGAACGCUGGCGGCAUGCCUAACACAUGCAAGUCGAACGGGAGUAGCAAUACUCUAGUGGCGGACGGGUGAGGAAUACGUAGGAAUUUGCCCUUAAGUGGGGGAUAACCCGGGGAAACCCGGAUUAAUACCGCAUGACCUCGAAAGAGCAAAGUGGGGGAUCGCAAGACCUCACGCUUUUGGGAGAACGCCUACGUCGGUAUUAGCUUAGGUUGGUGGUAAGGUAAGUGGCGUCCGACCGAAGGCGACGACUACCGUAACGUGGUCUAGAGGAAGGAUGACUCGAGUCCACCGAACCGGAACUGGAACGACCGACCGGGU
RNAcentral lists this ribosomal RNA (324 nucleotides) under uncultured soil bacterium. RNAcentral describes it as "bacterial SSU rRNA". It matches the Rfam family "Bacterial small subunit ribosomal RNA", at positions 26 to 336 of the family's 1533-position model. The record is from RNAcentral.